Molecule: ribosomal RNA, 773 nt
Filed under: uncultured Neocallimastigales
Lineage: Eukaryota; Fungi; Neocallimastigomycota; Neocallimastigomycetes; Neocallimastigales
Description: partial large subunit ribosomal RNA
Rfam family: Eukaryotic large subunit ribosomal RNA
Source: RNAcentral
ACACGCAUGACACACUGCAUAUCAAUAAGCGGAGGAAAAGAAACUAACUAGGAUUCCCUCAGUAACGGCGAGUGAAGCGGGAAGAGCUCAAAUUUGAAAUCUUCAAGGUUCUACCUUGACGAAUUGUAGUUUAAAGAAGUGUUUUCUGUUGGAGUUUUGGUAAAAGUUCUUUGGAAUAGGACAUCAUAGAGGGUGAGAAUCCCGUAUUUGACCAUUAUUUCCAACUUUGUGAUACACUUUCAAAGAGUCGGAUUGUUUGGGAAUGCAGUCCAAAAUGGGUGGUAAAUUUCAUCUAAAGCUAAAUAUUGGCGAGAGACCGAUAGCGAACAAGUACCGUGAGGGAAAGAUGAAAAGAACUUUGAAAAGAGAGUUAAACAGUACGUGAAAUUGCCAAAAGGGAAGCGUUUGACACCAGUGUUGUUUUUCCGAAAAUCAAUUAUGAAUGGCUUGAUUUUAAGUUUCAUGACCUUAAAAGCUUGUUUCUUAUUUUUCAUGUCUUUCGUAAUGCACUUUUCGGUUAACAAGUCAACAUCAAUUUCUUUUGUUGUAAAAGGUUAAGAGGAAGGUGGCUUUACUUUCGGGUAAAGUGUUUAUAGCCUUUUAACUCUGCAAUCGGAGAGAUUGAGGUCUGCAGCGUAGAUCCUUCGGGGUUAGAUACGUUUGUGCUAAGUUAUAGCUUUUCAUAGACAACUUGUUGACUAUGUUAAGUCUUGUAAUUUACUCGCAGAUGCUAUUCUACCUACGCUUAGGAUGUUGAUCUACAGAGCGAGAGU